RNAcentral lists this ribosomal RNA (253 nucleotides) under uncultured bacterium. RNAcentral describes it as "partial 16S ribosomal RNA". It matches the Rfam family "Bacterial small subunit ribosomal RNA", at positions 524 to 776 of the family's 1533-position model. The record is from RNAcentral.
UACAGAGGUCUCAAGCGUUGUUCGGAUUCAUUGGGCGUAAAGGGUGCGUAGGCGGCGCGGUAAGUCGGGUGUGAAAUCUCGGAGCUUAACUCCGAAACUGCAUUCGAUACUGGCGUGCUUGAGGACUGGAGAGGAGACUGGAAUUCAUGGUGUAGCAGUGAAAUGCGUAGAGAUCUGGAAGAACACCAAAGGCGAAGGCAGCGUCCUGGCGAGCAACUGACGCUAAUGUGCGAAAGCUAGGGGAGCGAACGGG